Molecule: ribosomal RNA, 104 nt
Filed under: Cychrus attenuatus
Lineage: Eukaryota; Metazoa; Arthropoda; Insecta; Coleoptera; Carabidae
Description: partial large 16S ribosomal RNA
Source: RNAcentral
UGUAAGCCAGGUCGGUUUCUAUCUUUAAUUAAUUAAAAUAUUUUAGUACGAAAGGACCCAAUAUUUAAUAUAAUAAUAUUUUAUUAUUUGAAUAUUAAUAAAAU